CCAAGGAGGAAGGCUUCUGGAAUCAGACGAGGCCAGUUUCAAUCCACUGCCUUCGGAUCUUGCCUGUGAGGGAAGCCACUUCAUACCCGCAUUACAAAGAAGAAGACUGAGGCUCUGCUGCCUUCUUGCCCUUGAGAUGGGAUUGACAUCACUACCCCCCUCAUCAAGUCUCCUGAGUCACUAGCUCUGGGAGCUAUGCGGAGGAGCACCCACGAGUGAAACUAUCAACCUUGGAUGCAGGC
This is a long non-coding RNA of Meriones unguiculatus (Mongolian gerbil), 242 nucleotides long. RefSeq lists it as uncharacterized. The record is from RefSeq and is a predicted model, not a curated record. NCBI's taxonomy places the organism in Eukaryota, Metazoa, Chordata, Mammalia, Rodentia, Muridae. The transcript has 3 exons.